UACUUAUGUUUGGAUGUAGUAUACCAUGCCCAGUUUCAGUUUUAGGAAUGCUCCGUACAUCAUAUGGAUUAUAACCACUGGUUUGACACACCUAUUAUUUUUAUUUGAGAUGUGGGAAGAUCGGUGCUCUACAAAUAACAAUCACAACGCCUGUAUUUUGGAGGUGAAACUUCUGGCUAUGCUUUACAGUGUGUAGCAGGAAACCACUGCCAUAACACGCCACAGUCUGACAUGGCCAAGACUGACAGCAAUGAGGAUGUCAUGGUUCCUUUUUCCUAGUGACCAGUUUUAGGUUCAUAAGUGCUGAGUGAGAAAUUUGCUUCAUUGGAUGCCUAUCUGACAAGUCAGUGUGUUGCGCUUGUAGGAAUAUAGUGUCCCAUUCUCAGGACCCACUUUGAAGGAUAUUAGAUUCCUAGAUUGGGACGAGAGAUACAUCACAAAUCUGAUGUAGAGCUAGUCUGGUAAGACUUAUGAGCAGAAGGCAUAUGAUGUAAACCUCUUCUUCCUGGAAGACCAACAAACGCAUGAAGGACAUAAUCAAUAUGAUGUAGGGAAGCCCCAUGCAAUGUCCAAAAUGGCUUGUGGAUCACAUAGGUCACCCCCCCCCAAACUGGAGAUAGUGCAAAUCUGUACCACAGGGGCAGUUUCAUCUUUUUACCCAAGGCUGUGGAUUUGUGAAUUAUCUGACUUCAGAGGUGAAGCAGCUGAUGUAAAAGCAAUUGAGUGUGGAACAGAUAUCUCCACAAGUCCAGUGGAGGACUCUUAUUUCAAAGGACUCACAUGCAAAUUUGAAGGCAUUCAGCUUAUCCUACUGACAUUUUGUCCCUAUGCCCUUGAACUAGAUGCAUUCUCAGUAGACUAUUGUACCUGUUUGUGCUGAAUUUCCUACUUAGUCCUCAUAUGUCUAUAUCAGCGUGUUCUCUUGGUCUGUGCAUGUUAUUAAUGCCUGUACUCAUUGUUAAUUUCAGCUCAUUGGGCCUUUCCUGAUCACCAGCUAUACCAUUCUCUUAUUUACCACCCUUAUUUGAUUAACUGACUCUGACUUUAACAGUCAAGAAUGGACAGCAGGACUGGUGACAUGGCAUUCAGUCAUUAAGCUUCUAUGUCAUGCAACAGACUACCUGCCUCCGAGUUCAGUAUGAGGAUACUUUUCAGAGGUCUUACUGUCAACAAACAUUUAGCAGAUACUUCAGCUGUACUGCGUUUAAAGAGUUUCUUCAGCCCCACUGCUGACUUGCAGUCAUUGUACCCCCAUGGAUAGUUUUAUCUGAGUUCACAGUCUCAUUAACGUCUGAAGAAACUCAUAGCUCAGCUGUGCUCCUGAUAUGCAAGAAUACAUUAACUAUAGAUUGCUGUAACUUGGCUUACCUAGUCUGGUACAUAGAGAACUCAUAUAGUUGCAUUACUGCAGUCUCCAUGCCUGCAUCUGUUCUGGAGUUCUGCCACUUAAUAGUGUGCAGUUCAUGUAUUGAUGGUGUUUGCUUAUUUAUCUUUCUCUGUUUCUGUGACUACCCAUUUUGUGGCUAAGCAUGUUCCAAAGCAUUAUCCCAUAUAAUCAGUAAAUAAAUAUUACUGUUUUUAAUAUGUGUAAAAAUUAAAUAUUCAAAAUAAUAAAUUGUAUGGUUGCAGUUAAGAUAUUUAACAAUAUUUUCAUUUAAUAUUAUUUGUUUCAUUAGCUUCACACUUGCAUGCUUUUCUUCUUCCGAUGUUGAGUCUAAAGUAUCAUUUUUAACAGAUGGAAAAUAGUGUUUUAAUUUGUCUCAUACCAGACGUCUGUCCAUCCUUUUUUGGCAGCUGCAUCCCAUUAUUCUACAUGAAGAUUAAGAGAACUGUGUCUUCUACCUGCCCAUUUAUUACAGUCACAAGAGAAGUAACAUUAACCGUCAGUAACUGGACAACUGGGACUAGUGACAGCAACCUGAUAAGGCUCACAUUUGUGUCAUUUUCCUUUAUGAAUAGUUCUGUGUUUUCAGUCUACUCUAAUGUGCUUUCUGCUUAUAUGCAAAAAUGUCAAGACUAUUAAAAUAAUGCAACAUUUCAUUGUGAAA
Protopterus annectens (West African lungfish) is the source of this 2048-nucleotide long non-coding RNA. RefSeq lists it as uncharacterized. The transcript is spliced from 2 exons. NCBI's taxonomy places the organism in Eukaryota, Metazoa, Chordata, Ceratodontiformes, Protopteridae. The record is from RefSeq and is a predicted model, not a curated record.